This 301-nucleotide ribosomal RNA is filed under the name uncultured bacterium. Its description in RNAcentral is "partial 16S ribosomal RNA". It matches the Rfam family "Bacterial small subunit ribosomal RNA", at positions 509 to 809 of the family's 1533-position model. The record is from RNAcentral.
CAGUCGCCGCGGGAAUACGAAGGGGGCUAGCGUUGCUCGGAAUGACUGGGCGUAAAGGGCGCGUAGGCGGCGAUCAAAGUCAGGCGUGAAAUUCCUGGGCUCAACCUGGGGGCUGCGCUUGAUACUUGGUUGCUUGAGUGGGGAAGAGGGUCGUGGAAUUCCCAGUGUAGAGGUGAAAUUCGUAGAUAUUGGGAAGAACACCGGUGGCGAAGGCGGCGACCUGGUCCUUGACUGACGCUGAGGCGCGAAAGCGUGGGGAGCAAACAGGAUUAGAUACCCCAGUAGUCCCUGUCUCUUAUAA